AACGAUCAUGACCAACAAGGGACGCAGAUCACCACAUGUCUUACUCCAUGCACAGACCGCACACAGCAAGAUUGACAGGCCCAGAAAAGGGAAUUGAUUAAUUUGUGAUUCUCAGCUGCAUAGAAGGAAAAAAAGAAAAACAUCCGUCAACGAAAAAUACAGUAAAGCCCCAGAGGCCAAGUAAACUUGUCAUUCCCAAAGAUUUCUACAAUCCAUGGCACCUGAAACAUGAGCGAGGGAAAUGGCUGCGUCGCUGACAUUACCCAUCUAUUCUGCCUGGCAUCUUGACUAAUGGUGUUAGCGACUACUUGGGGAAAUGACAUUCCAUCUUAACAUUCUUGAGUUUGGCAGCAGAGGGUGUCGGGGAGUCAGAACAGUCUGAAAAAAAGAUGCAUCACCCACAGGCUCACAUGUCGGAGAAGUGAGGCAAAUCCUCAGCUGAGUCACAGUGAACAUAAAAAAGUUGGCCUUUUAAAGGACAGAGACUAGACAAAGUUGUGGGAUUUUCACCCUGCACUGGAUAAUCUCUCAUUACCAACUACUUUCUCACAAACUGAUUUUGGUAAUAACCAACACACGUUAUGUUAAGGCUGCAACUAACAGUUGUUUUCAAUAUUGAUAAAUCUGAUGAUUAUUUUCUUGAUUAAUCAAUUAUAAUCAUGUUUUUUAUAAAAUGUCAGAAAUUUAUGAACAAUGUCCAUCACAGUUUCCCAGAUCCCCAGGGGAAGCUUGAAGAUGUCCGAUUAGCAGUCCAAACCGAGAAAGAUAUUCAGUUUUCUACCCUUUUAGAAAUCAAAAAGUAACAAAUCCUCACAUUUUCAGCUUUCUGAAACCAGAUGAGCUCAAUAUUUUUCUGUUGAUCGAGUAAUUGAUCAAUUGUUUCUACUCUAUUUCACAGUACAGCAGUUUAUACAUUUCUUAUGUGAUAUUCACUAUGUAAUGUGUAGCUGCAUCACUUUUUUAACACCAAUCUAAACUGAGAUAAAAUC
Molecule: long non-coding RNA, 989 nt
Organism: Xiphias gladius (swordfish)
Lineage: Eukaryota; Metazoa; Chordata; Actinopteri; Istiophoriformes; Xiphiidae
Exons: 5
Source: RefSeq, a predicted model, not a curated record